Triticum aestivum (bread wheat) is the source of this 130-nucleotide non-coding RNA. The record is from Rfam. NCBI's taxonomy places the organism in Eukaryota, Viridiplantae, Streptophyta, Magnoliopsida, Poales, Poaceae.
AUAGUACUCCCUCCGUCCCAAAUUAGUUGUCGAUUUUUCUAGAUACGGAUGCAUCUAGACACAUUUAGUGCUAGAUACAUCUGUAUCUAGACAAAUCUAAGACAACUAAUUAGGACGGAGGUAGUACUAA